UAAUACAGAGGGUGCAAGCGUUAAUCGGAAUAACUGGGCGUAAAGGGUGCGUAGGCGGUUACCUAAGUUGGAUGUGAAAGCCCCGGGCUUAACCUGGGAAUUGCAUCCAAGACUGGGUAACUAGAGUAGAAAAGAGGGGGGUGGAAUUUCCGGUGUAGCGGUGAAAUGCGUAGAGAUCGGAAGGAACACCAGUGGCGAAGGCGGCCCCCUGGUUUCAUACUGACGCUGAGGCACGAAAGCGUGGGGAUCAAACAGG
This 256-nucleotide ribosomal RNA is filed under the name uncultured bacterium. RNAcentral's name for it is "partial 16S ribosomal RNA". It matches the Rfam family "Bacterial small subunit ribosomal RNA", at positions 521 to 776 of the family's 1533-position model. The record is from RNAcentral.